CGCCAGUGCGAGUGAUGCUGUAUUUUGGAUUCUGAACUAUGUAUAUGAAGCUCAGUUUGUUUAGUUUUUGUUUACUCGAGCAGCUCUAUACUACUGUUUGUAGUAUUGUUUGAUUUACAGGUACUGAUGUCGCUUCGUAUAUAGGGGAAAUUUCUUUGUAUACGGCGGAUUUGUCGGCGUGCCCGGGGAACGAGACAUCCGGGGCGUGACAAAAAUAUUUAUAGCUGCAACAGUUUCUGCUACAUCGAAUCAAACAAAAUACAUGUAAUUAUAAAUAAUGUACUUUUAACUGUAUGUAUUUCAAUUAUACUG
RNAcentral lists this long non-coding RNA (312 nucleotides) under Ananas comosus (pineapple). RNAcentral describes it as "long non-coding RNA (ACOM_LNC026470)". The record is from RNAcentral. Lineage: Eukaryota; Viridiplantae; Streptophyta; Magnoliopsida; Poales; Bromeliaceae.